UAGGGAAUCUUCGGCAAUGGACGAAAGUCUGACCGAGCAACGCCGCGUGAGUGAAGAAGGUUUUCGGAUCGUAAAACUCUGUUGCUAGAGAAGAACAAGGACGUUAGUAACUGAACGUCCCCUGACGGUAUCUAACCAGAAAGCCACGGCUAACUACGUGCCAGCAGCCGCGGUAAUACGUAGGUGGCAAGCGUUGUCCGGAUUUAUUGGGCGUAAAGCGAGCGCAGGCGGUUUCUUAAGUCAGGUGUGAAAGCCCCCGGCUCAACCGGGGAGGGUCAUUGGAAACUGGGAGACUUGAGUGCAGAAGAGGAGAGUGGAAUUCCAUGUGUAGCGGUGAAAUGCGUAGAUAUAUGGAGGAACACCAGUGGCGAAGGCGGCUCUCUGGUCUGUAACUAACGCUGAGGCUCGAAAGCGUGGGGAGCAAACAGG
RNAcentral lists this ribosomal RNA (429 nucleotides) under Gemmatimonadota bacterium. RNAcentral's name for it is "Gemmatimonadetes bacterium partial 16S ribosomal RNA". It matches the Rfam family "Bacterial small subunit ribosomal RNA", at positions 355 to 776 of the family's 1533-position model. The record is from RNAcentral. Lineage: Bacteria; Pseudomonadati; Gemmatimonadota.